GGGUUGUGAGGUUAAGCGACCAAGCGUACACGGUGGAUGCCCUGGCAGUCAGAGGCGAUGAAGGGCGUGCUAAUCUGCGAUAAGCGCCGGUAAGGUGAUAUGAACCGUUAUAACCGGCGAUACCCGAAUGGGGAAACCCAGUGUGACUCGUCACACUAUCAUUAACUGAAUCCAUAGGUUAAUGAGGCGAACCGGGGGAACUGAAACAUCUAAGUACCCCGAGGAAAAGAAAUCAACCGAGAUUCCCCCAGUAGCGGCGAGCGAACGGGGAGGAGCCCAGAGCCUGAAUCAGCAUGUGUGUUAGUGGAAGCGUCUGGAAAGGCGCGCGACACAGGGUGACAGCCCCGUACACAAAAGCGCAUGUGCUGUGAGCUCGAUGAGUAGGGCGGGACACGUGGUAUCCUGUCUGAAUAUGGGGGGACCAUCCUCCAAGGCUAAAUACUCCUGACUGACCGAUAGUGAACCAGUACCGUGAGGGAAAGGCGAAAAGAACCCCGGCGAGGGGAGUGAAACAGAACCUGAAACCGUGUACGUACAAGCAGUGGGAGC
This 549-nucleotide ribosomal RNA is filed under the name Salmonella enterica. Its description in RNAcentral is "partial 23S ribosomal RNA". It matches the Rfam family "Bacterial large subunit ribosomal RNA", at positions 1 to 580 of the family's 2925-position model. Lineage: Bacteria; Pseudomonadati; Pseudomonadota; Gammaproteobacteria; Enterobacterales; Enterobacteriaceae. The record is from RNAcentral.